Rattus norvegicus (Norway rat) is the source of this 3321-nucleotide non-coding RNA. The record is from RefSeq and is a predicted model, not a curated record. Lineage: Eukaryota; Metazoa; Chordata; Mammalia; Rodentia; Muridae.
CUGGGCCCCUUCCUGGCCGGGUGCAGCUAUAGGCACCCCUCCCAGGCGCCCAAAGUUCAGACAGCAGUGACUUGACAUCCAAAGGCCAGUCAGAACUGCUCAGGGCACACUGCUGAAAUGACAUUUUGAGUCUAUGCCUUCCAUUCAUGCCUUUUGUACCCACGGAUUUCAUUUUUCACAGACAAAUAUAAAUAUCACUUGGAACAAAGCAAGGAUAAUCCCCAAAUUUUACUCCAUAUAACAACACCUUUUCCUAAAAUCCCAUUGUCUAUUCCAGUGACAUCUGUCCUGCGACUUUGAUAAUGUAUAUUAACUCGUUUUGAAUUUAUUGUCAGUUGCUGUACUGGUCCCUUGUAUUUGUUUAAUUUCCUAAUAAUUAUUAAGUCUUCAUAAAAGAUAACCAAGGCCCAAAGAAGUAGGAAUAAUUUCCCCCAAAGAGAAUCGAGUCAUCUCUAGCCACAAAGCUGCUUUAGCCUUAGAGAUGAAAAAAAUCACUUCUCUUCGAAGAAAAUUUCGUUUUAAUAUUUUUAUUAACUAAAUUACAUUCUGAAUUUCUUUCAAAAAGACAUUUUAUCCUUCACUUGAGCUUGGUUUUAUGUUACGAACGGGAGCCCUGUUAGAGUUCAAAAGGAAAAUCCAUACUGAAUACUUGUUUUUAAUGAGCCGAGCAUUGUCUACAAUGAUGAAGAGGAAAUGGGAAAAAAUGCUGGGGCUUUAAAUUUAAACUGAUAAAGGUAGUCUUCUCUCUCUGCUUGCUUAUUGGCUGUUCCUCCCACAGAUCUUUUUCAGGGAGCUUGAGCAGGGUCAGAACCCUUUUCUGGUUCUCUGAGUGGAAGAUUUUAUGGGGGUGGGUUGGAGGCCUUGAGAAAUUUACCCAGAGUGCAUUGGUGGGUUAAAGAGAAGCACAAGUUAGUAUAUACUCAAGGGACAACAGCAACAAGGAGACCUCAUUCAUUUUACUGUCUCCAAUUCAUAGCUCAAAGUGGUCUGUUGUUGUUUGUUUGAUUUUGGUGUAACUUGGCUCCAAAUGACAAAGCUGCUAUUCAAAUAAGUCACAAUCUAUACUUUUAGCCUCUACAAUGCAUUCAGUAGUUGUGCUUGUCACGAAAGCAGUCAUUCUUUCUGAUACACUAUGCAUGCUGGUGGUUCAAAUAAGUGACAAUAACAAUGAGUCCCUUAGUUCUGAAUCCUCCAUGAAUACAGCAAAUGCUGUGUUGGAACUCAGAAGGGACUGACUACAGUAGCAGUCUCCUCAAAAGCUAGGGAGCACCCAUUUCUUUUUGGUACAGGACUUCAUAUGUUGCUUUUAUCUCUUAAAAGGGUGGAAAAGAUUCAUAUUUAAAUCCAUUUGAUAGUCUAACAAAUUAUUGGGGGAAAAGAGGCAGUCUGUUUCCUAGCUGUCUUCUUUUAAUAACGACCCAAUAUCAGCCUUUCCUCUCGAGUUCAGCAUCCCCUCAACUUAAGUCCUCCUUCCAUUCUCCUUACAAAAGGGGUUCUAGAUCUGCAGGUAAGCAGGUAGACAAUAGGCUCAGGCAGAAUCCCUUUUCCAGUUGUGUGGGGAAACCACAGGAAGACCAAGCUACUCAUCCUUGCUGUCUUCCAAGGUAAACAUUUCAGCCCACUAACCUCAGAGUCAAGGGUAUUUUUCUCCCUCACAACUUCUUAUCCAUAUAUACAAAUACAUUCCUAAGAAUACAUUUGCAGCUGUCUCUCAGAAACCUCUGAAUUAUUCAUAAAGUACUAAUUAUUCAGCUUCUUAAUCAAUCACUAUGCGUAUACUGCACAGUUGCCUUCCAGAAGUGAAAUAAAUCGACCUGUGCUCAGUCCACAACUGAGAGUUUGAACAGUAAUCCCAAGUCUUCAGGUCACUGUUACCAAAUAAGGCAGUUUAUGUUGUUCACUCAACAAAGCUAUGUCUAGCUUCUGUUAAACAACCGUAUAAUUAUCCACAAGUCACCUACACUGUGGUAGUAAGUGUAUAUUUAAACACGACGCGUGUCAUUUUUAAAUGGACUUUUAUUAUAUAAGUUUAGUUGAGAAGUAAAUCUUUCUAUUGCCACUGUAAAUGGAACCCAAAAAGAAAUGACAAUCCUAUAAGUUGAAUUCAUAAUAGAGAAAUAGUAUUGUUCCCUAUAUCACCUAUGAUCAUCUCAGAGCCGUUUAAGAAACAAUGAUUUAGAGCUCUCAAUCCCAGAUUUCCCAAAAUAUAUUUUUAAACAUUCUUUUCCUACCACUCUAGAGAGAUGUUGAAAUAGGUCUAAUUAAAUUCUGAAUGUUUUUAUUUUGAAAUUUUAUGUUUAGUGUGUGUGUGUGUGUGUGUGUGUGUGUGUGUGUGUGUGUCAGUGUGAGGAUGAGGGGCAGGAGGUUGGGGGUGGGGAACAUGUGGGAUUCAGUUCUCUUGUUCACCCUGUCAGACCUGAGGAUUAAACUCAGGCUUUCGGGUUAGCAGCAAGUACAUUUAUCAGCCCCCUCACCAGCUCUACAAGUUACUUCAGAUACUGUUCCUUAGUCUAGUAUUAUCUUCCUUCUUAAAAUAUAUUUGAGGUCUCUAAAGUUGAACGGUUCUUUUAGAAUUGUAAUUGCUCCAGGGUUUUAUAGCUGUUUGACUUGGGUGGGGGGAACACAAUCUAUAAAUGAGUAGUGAAAAAGGAAGACUGUCCUAUAAGACAGUACCAGUUUCUAGUUAUUUACUUCUCCUGUUUUCCUUUCUGCCCCUUUCUCUUUUCAUCUGAGGCCUUAUAACACCAUGGCAGCAAUACUGACUGGCCCAGAAGGUUGGUGCCACCAAGUUCUAGAUGACAGGGAGCAAGGCAGGAAGAUCAGAAGACAAGAGACACCCAAAGAACCCAAAAGAAAACAUGGAGAAGUCCCAAAGUCAGACACCUGCCACAGAACUCAGGAAGAGUUCCAGAGAUCAUCAAGUCCUCCACAAUGCAAGGCACAGUACGCAAGGGCAAAAUCACCAGCCACAUCCUACCACUACACCCCAAAAGAAAAGAAAACAGAGGGCCGGGUAUUUGGAGAAAUAAUUCCACAGCAAGCCUCUGGAGCACCCUGGUUGUGCACCUUUGAACUGCGGCUGGAAGCAGGCUCAGGUCUUGAAAAACUACAGUCAGUCAAUUGUUUCUCCUGAACUCCUGAGCCAAAUCCUUUGAGCUUUGGAAGAAUGAAGUUUUAAAGGCCAGCCUCAACGGGAACAACGUUGACCACUGUCUACGAAUGACAGACUAUUAGAACAAAUGAGGAUAAACAGGAAUCUGAAGUUCUGUGCUGCUGGUUGCCCAAAACUGUGUAAAUAAACAACCUGAGUAAUUUUGUGCA